UUCUCCCUGCUGUUUAUCAUUUGUCAGUUCCUUAGAUUUUUGGAUCUUCUUAGCCCCUCCAUCUAUUUGCAUUUCAUCAUCACUGUCAUACUUGUCCAAGACAUCUUGCUCUUCUGCUUCAGCAAAAACAUCUUGAGUAAACCACUUCUUCACAAUCUCCUCCUGAGGUGGUGCAUCCUCAAGGGGCACAACAAGAGGGUUGACUUCAUUAUCUUCCAUGUCACUCUCAGAGUCUUGAGCAGAAUCAAUCAUCAUGCUAUCAUCAUUGUCAUCCUGGAAAGAAAACAGCAGCACUACCAUUAAUGCAAAGAAAGACAAAAGAAAGAUAAACUUCCGAGUAACUUGAAGAGCUAUGUGGGAAAAAAAAAAUGCUGUACAAAUUUUUUUAGAUGAUUUAUGAAAGACACUUGGAAAGUUUUAAGAUAAUGAUCAAAAUUUCAUUCAACCCUUCUAUGUAAUCCUAAGUUAAAGGACAGACAGGAUUUAGUUAAAUCAAUUUGAAUUUGUCUUUUAUUUUGGUAAAAACUGAAUCUUACCAAAUCUACAACUCAGUUAAUAUAUUUGAAAUCUACAUGGCACUGUAUUACAACUCAUAAGUUGUUGUAAUACAGGAAAUAGAUGUAAACAAUAACAAAUCAAGUAUAUAGGAAGGAGAUGAAGCUGUGCCUAGUACUCCCUGGGGCAAACACAAUCCAGAUUUGGAGUCUCUUACAGAUCAAUUUUGAUCCAGAAGAACAGGAAUUAAAUCUUUGCCAAACUAGAACAAAGCUCAAACAAGUUAAAGCUCCCACUAAAUCCAGCAGAGCAUCAUCAAUUAAGCACUAAAAGAAUGACCUCUAUUGAAUUUAUAUAGAGAGUACUUGUUGAAGGAAACAACAAACUCUCUCCCAUAGCAAAAGGAAACAGGAAAAGAACUAAAGAGAGGAUGUACGGAUAAGAAUUUCGUAGUGCAACUUAAACCUCACUUACCUGCAGAUCAUCCUUCAAGUGUGCUUGUUUGGAUCGCUUUCUCUGUUUUGAUUUACCUUCCACUCUACCCAAAUACCGUUCAUAAGCCUCAUCAAAUAAUGCCUCAAUAUUAUCAUCAUGUCUGAAAAUGAAGGGAAAAAGAGACCUUGUAGCUUUAGAAGUUUACAGACAACAAUCAAUUAAAGAAGUAGAUCCGCAAAGAGCUGGCCAUAAUACCUUCUGCGUUCGUCUUCAGAGUCCAGAUCGCUGGAUGAAUGUUCCUGGGCUUCCUCGUCACUUUCAUCGCUUACCUCAGUAGUUUCUUUGUCGUAUUCACUGUUAUCAACAACUACAAGAUCUUUCUUACCCUGAAAUGUUUUUCAAAUGCAUGUGAAGAAUAUAAUUAACAAAUGUUACAGCAGACUCUUCACAUAGCAGUAAAAAUGAAUUAAAUUGGGUGAAAAGAAAAAUUAUCAAGAUUAGUAGUGAAACAAAUCCGCAUAUCACGUAUCUAACAAUGGAAAGGAUAAGAAAAAAUAGCAUGUGUUUAGUCUCGGUAAAAAAGCUAGAAAGCAUUACUACUAUUUUAUUUUAUUUUGAUAAUGGUAACUUUACUUCUAUAUAACCACAGUAUACUUCUAUAUAUCCACAGGUAUACUACAACCAAAGUGUAGUACACCCCCUUUCAAAAGUAUUACAACUUACAACUUGUAAUUCAGUUCUGUGCCUUACAAAAAGUUUAAAACAUCACAAAUAUCUUCUGUUUGAGCUUGUAGUUUUAGCUCACACCAAAAAUAAAAAAGGCCUAAACUCAUUUGAAGAUUCUGAAUGUUGUUCUGAGUCCCCUCAAAACACCUUUCAUUCCUCUCACUCCAAAUUGUACACCAAAUGCAUGCUAUUUUAAGGAUUAUUCUCAAUAGGGUUUAAAAGAUAGAUGAAAAAAGUUGGGAAAAAAGGGAGAGAUAACCUUUAAGUCUUGCUAAGUGGAACACUUAGGGCCCGUUUGGAUGGGCUUAAUAAAAGCAGCUUUAAAAAGGUACUUUUAAAAGUGCUGAAACUUAUUUUUAAAAUAAGCAGUUAUGCGUUUGGAUAAAAGUGCUGAAAUUGUUAUGUCAAACGUGAAAAGGGAAAAAUGGAAGAAAGAAAUGUUAGGGUUAUAUGGGUAAUUUGGAGAUUGUAUAAAAAUAUUAAGCACAAAAAGAUAAAAAUGUGGUCAACUUAAAACAGCUUAUAAGCUAAAAAAAAAAAGAACACCCCUACCCCAGCUUUUAACUUUUGGCUUAAAAUAAGUUUUUUUCAACUUAAAAUAAGUUGUUUUGAGUAUUGCCAAACAGCUAAAUACGUCAAAAACCAGCUUUUAAGUCAGUUUGACCAGCUUUUAAGCUGAGCCAAAUAGGCUCUUAAAGUGGUCCCAUUUUGAGAGCCAAUAAAGAUAUCACUCUUACCUUGCAUUUUAUUCAAGGUUGACGCAUCCGCCUUAUAGAAAAGAUGUGUUUCUUAUUUCUUAUUAUAUAAUAUGAUAACCCCUCCUAUUUGCUGCGUCUUACAGUCCUUUUCUGCCAUGGUCCAAAGCAAUACUCUUCAAAUGUCAUUCUCUCUCUCUCUUUGUUUGCUGUUCAGCGUCUGCCAUGUUAAGGAUGGUCCAAAGCAACCCCAAGAAAUUACUGUCCAACAGUGGUCCUGGAAGUAUCAACUUCAUCCCUAUUUUCCUUUCUUCUCUAAGUUGCGCGGACUCUUCAUUUUUGCAGGCGAACCUGUCUCGACACGACUCAGGUGCGGGGUGCGUGUCGGAUUCGGUCAAUCCAAUCCGUACACUUUGACCGAAGCCGAGAAAAGAUUGGGUAAGAAAAAAUCAAUUUCCGACGACGUAAAGAUUACAAAGCUUGAAAAAGUAUAGAGAAUAGAUAAUAGAAGAAGAGAAAAUCAGUUUCCGGCGACAACGACGGAAAGUUGAGAACAACAAAGAACUGAAAAGAGAAGAAGAGAUUUUUUUCUUGAAAGUUGGACCAAGUAAAAGAAAUAUGUAUUUUUCUUGAAAGUUGAAACAAGUAAAAAGAAUAGCCUUUUUUUAAUUUUUCUUGAAAAGUACAUACUUUUUCUUGAAAAGUUACAUUGACUUUUCUUAAAUAAGUACAUGGUCUGCAGGGAGCCAGAGAAAGGGUUUUUUUUAAAAAAAAUAAUAAGUGUAGUUUUAUUUAGUACUUAGUAUAUAUAUUAAAGUGUGUUAGUACUCUUACGUAUACUCAAUUGUAUUACAUAAAAUGGGAUGAAUGAAGUAAUAAAAUUCAUACCAUUAAAUUAUACUAUAAGUCAUAUUAAAAUUUCCUUUUUAAAUAGAGAUUCGAUUGGAAACAACUUUACGUUGUAUAGAUAAAAGAUAAGGUAUUUAUACAUUUUACAUCUACAAAUUUCAUUGUAAAAUUAUAUUAAAUAUAUUAUUAUCAUUAUUUUGUUAAAAUUUUAAAUAUAUUAUUAUUAUUUUGUUAAAAUUUCAAAUUUUAACACGUAAUGUAUAAAUUUUAAAUCCACGCAGACUAGACGUUAUAAGCUAUAAGAUUAAGAAGUAGAAUAUCUUCGUAACUAUAUUUUUAUAAUAUUGAAAUUUUUUAGUCGUAUCCCCGCACCCGUAUCCAAACUCGGAUCGCACCCAAGAAUCUUAAAAUUUGGAUUUCGCCGAAUCCGACUCUCGGAUGCGCAUCCGUCUCGGAUACCCGCACCCGAGUCCGAGCAACUUAGUUUUUUCUUAUCUCGUCUCCGCACAAUACACCCUCACACUUCCUUAGAAUGCUCUGAGAUUUUCCCAACUGUAUGAUGGUCAACCAGAUACACCAACUUUUUACUUGGUGGACGCCAUAGGCUUCUAAAUGUCCACAAGUUACAGACAUCCAUAUUGCUUAUUGAACAAAUGUGGAAAUUGAAAUGGUGUGCUUCCUGAACACUCUUUAUAUUUUUGGUUCAAUAGUUUAUUUUUUAAACGAGUGUGUAGUAUAUAAAUUUGGAGAGGGGGUGGAUUUAACUUCCCCUAUUCUCUGUAUCCUUGAAAUCUCAACCACGUCACAAAUGCUCAAAAGCACAUAUCCCCUGCUGCUAUCCUACAAACCACAUACCUCCAAACACUAUCCACUGCACCUUUCUAUUUAAAGAACUAAACUAAUUACAUCAUGGAUAAUUCUUUAGGGUAUAUUAUAACAUAUAAAUUUAAUCAUUAACAUUCACAUCUAUGAAAUGUCGUAUCCUAUAAAAAAUGUUAUGGUUCUAAAUAUCAAUUUACUUCUACCCGCAGAAAGAUUCUAAAGCAACUUGACAACUGUAAUUAGUCAGUCACCAAUAUUAGCUGAUAUAGCAAAAUAACUAAACCAUAAACCAGGGAGGGUUGUCCAUCAGAAAUCUAGCAACUUAUAGCAAGUGCAUGUUUGACAGAGUGGUUAUAAUUUUUAAAAUUUAAUGGUUCAUAUUAAGAACCUAAAAGUUAAAUCGAUCAAAUGUAUAUUUAACAUACAUUUUUUUUUCAUAAUCGUACACCCAUCUAGCCGAAAUCCUACAUACGCCCCUGAUGGCACUCAAUUUUUCAAAAUUUCCUCCCUCCAUAUUAACCAAAAAUACCAAAUGGAGGCAUCUUCCAUAACCUCUUUUUCUAACCUCCAAUAUGUAUGUCUACCAACUUUCAUCACUACUUUAGAAUAUAAGAUUUAUUGAUGAAACUAGCAGAAAGUGGGCAAAUGUGGGUCUACUCCUUGUGUCCUCUACAUAAGCAACAAUAAAUAUUAUGAUACGCAUCUCCUCAAAUUAUCUUCUUUCAGAAUAGCAUCCCACUAGAUGCACCCAAAAAAGAACUAACCUUCAACCGUUCUAUAGCAUCCACAAUGAUUCCAAAAGGGUUCCAUCAAAUCACCUCAAUAAAUUGGCUGGUUAUGAUAUAACCUUUGAAUCAAUGUUUACAUCUCAAAUUUAAGAUCCUGUAUGGAUAUGUCGAAAGUUAAAUUCCAGAAAAUCUGCUACCUUCCUUGCUAAAGAGCUCCCCUACAUUCCUGUCAUUUCAGAGAAAAUCUAAAAUUGGGAAACCAUAAUUCAAUUUUAUGUUACAUUCCUUUUUCUCCCAGAAUCUCAAAUUACCAUUUCCAACUAAAAGCAAGUGAAUUCAGAAGACCCUUUUAAAAUCAAAAUCACCUGUUGACCCUUUUCACCAGCUUGUUCAGUAUGUUAAAGAACCCCUUCAGAGAACAACCCAUGUUGAUCAAUUCACAUAUGCUUUCAGAAUGUUGUUUAGCUAUCAAGAUUCAGUAGAGCGAAUUCUUCCUAUCACAAAAUGCUCCUCUAAAGCAUCAUCCAACUAAACUACCACAAAUUUCAUAACACGAACUUAAAGCAAAUAUAUAAAUAAAUCAAACCUAACAAAAAAUAGACAAGUUGAUAUUAUCACAUAGCAACUAUUUCGGUUUCUAGCAACAAUAUCUAGCUGAUAUCUAGAUGUAGAUUUUCUCAAAUACACCAGACUUCAUCUAGACGUUGAAGAACAGAGCUUUCAACCAGAUAAAACUUCUAGGAAAAACAAUUUCUCUGUAAAGGUCGCAUCCAGUCCACUAGUGCAAAUGAUAUAUCAAAGAUCUAAGUGUGAAAGUACCUUGAUGGAAGAUAGAGAGAACAAAUCCUGAUCACCAUAGCCAUCCUCUGUCGCGUCGACUUGUAUCCCAAGUGCCUUGCGUGCUUUCUCCUGCAAUCAAAAAAAUAAAGGGGAAACAAUCAGUGAAAUAGAUCCCAUGUGACUACUUCAUGAUUUUAGGGAAGUAACAGAAGUUGUUGGAGGGUAUAUAUCAAUUCAAGAAACCACUACCAGAUUUUGGUCUAGUGUUAAGAGCACAACAAGUGAUGUGUGAAUUAGGCGCUUGUCAGAGAUUGAAAUCUUUUCUCUUUUUACUAAAAAAAAGGUAAGAGUUGUAUUCUUCAGCAUUAAGGGUGUGCUGAGUACUUCCAAAGAGAUGCAAGUUAUUCCCUUAAUUACAUAGAUCCUAGGAAAUCUACCAACUGUUCUACUUGUUCUAUACCAUCUUCUUUACACCAAAAAUACAACAUGUUGAUGCAAUUUUCUUUAACCUUCUGAAUAGUGUUAGUAAUAUUCUCAUGACACCUGAGGAUUCUUUCUCUCAAAAUAGCCAGCCAGAACAAGCCGGUAAUAUAGACCACUUCGUCACAGGCUGAAUCUGACUGCACAAAAAAGGCUGGUAUUUAAGUGGAGAAGUGUAGUGGGACAGACCAUCAUCCACCGUGUCUCAAACCAAGAGCCGCUGGACUCGAGGAUUUCUCAGUUACAAAAAAAAAUAAAGAAACCCUAAUGUCAAGACAUCUACCAAAUAAUUCUUAGUAGCAGUUUAAUUUUCCCAGAAUGCCCUGGUGUGAGUUUCAGUCAUUGCCCUAAUGUCAAAACUUCUACCAAAUAAUUCUUAGUAGCAAGUUUAAUUUUCCCAGAAUGCCCUGGUGUGAGUUUCAGUCAUUGCCCUACACAAGCAAUCAAACAAAUAAUCAACUUGGCUCUGAACUGCAACUUUAUCCAGGCUCUACUUAAGACUAAUUCGUUUUAUAGCUAAGAUACCCUGAAGAAAAGAUUUUUGGGGUUAAAAACUUGAAAUGCAUGAAAGUGCACUUGUUUUCUCAAGGGAAAAGCACAAAAAUCACAAUUUGGGAUACUUGUUUGUCCAUUAAAUCUUCUGAGUUCAACAGAAAAUAUCAAUCCCCACAUGAUGUUGUAUGGAACAGUCUUAACUAUGUGUAAACAACAACAGCAAACCAAAACAGAAAUUGAAAGAGACUUGGUGAAGCAUAUGCAUAAACCUUGGCUCGUCUUUUUGCUUGAAGUUUCUUCUCUUUUUUCUGUUUUUUCUCCAAAAUAUUGGUUUUCUCCUCUAUUUCAUUGAGAACUCUUUCAUCUUCAUCUUCACCUUCAUCUUCACCUUCUUUGCUCUCACUUUCAACAACUGUUGGGGUCUUUAUUUUUUCAGGAGAUAAAGCUUUUCUUAUCUGCAUACGCCACCUAGUAAAAAUGCAUCAUAAAAUCAUAAGAGGAACAUAAAAGAAUGAGAAUACAGAAUAAUGUAACUAAAUUCAUUCAAGAACUUUGAGCAUCCCAAAAAGGAAAGGUGCUAAAAAGGUUUCUGUUUCAUACUUUAAGAGAUACUUGAAUUCUUGCUUUGCAAGAACACGCAAAUCAUCACAUAGAGAUUUAACCUGACACAAAAAUUGAAGUGUAAGGCUAACGAUAGCAAGCAACUACAGUAUCUAGCAACAACAGGCUAUAGCCUAAAAUAGACCACACGUAAUAUACCUCCUCUGUUGUGAGAGUGUGGUCUCUAAUGGCCAAACAGGCAGGAUCAUCAAAGCUCAUUGAAGAAAAUGUACCAAGGACCUGAACAGGGUUAUCAGACCAUACAAAAUCUACAACUGAGCACACCUUCCUUAGGACUGUGGCUCCAUCUUCGUACCUGCAAGGUUCAUUUUAUACAAAUGUCAUAUGGAUGCAAGUCUGAUGAGAUAAUUCAUGCAUCUGAAAAUAGAAAGAAGGAAAUCAAUUAGCUCAAAUCUUCGCCCGGAUUAGUUCUAAUAAUGACAAACCCAUUAGACUGAAUCAAAGUUAACAUCAAUCAUUUGACAGCUGGCAAUUAGUUAGAAAUUCAAAUGUCAAGGUCUACUGAAAUGACAUCAUCUAUUAAUGAUGGAUAAUAAAAAGGAUGAGCCGGGUAUACUAAGCUAGCAUCUGGCCAUAGAUUUUGGGACUAGAUUUUGAAAAGUUUAUCUUCAAAUAGCUGUUUUGCCAUGAAAUUUUAUUGAAUUUCGAAAGCUUCAAAUCUGCGAACUUCAAUUAUUUUUGGUUUAAAAGACUUCCACACACAACUUCAAAAUUCCAAAAAUUACAACUUCAGAUACUCAAAUUUUCAAGUGUAAUUCAAAAUAUAUGGCCAAACAAGAUCUAAGAGGUUUCAGAUGUUGCCCCAACAAUAAAAGGCUCUAAAACGGACUAGUAGAAGUUGAGGCUGGAAUUAUUAGUGAAGUCUGAGAGCAGACAAAGCAACCUGAGAGCUUCACUAUCAACUCAGUGCAUGAUUCUCAUUAAUACAUGCAAAGAAAGAUAUUUGGAGAGUGAAAUCUUCAGCAUCAGACAGAUAAACAAACAUCCAGUUUAUUUUGAUGGAACAAAAUUAGUCAUAAUCCACCGUCCAGCAAGACCAUGAAGGAAGUGAAGCAGGCCAAGUUUUAGGAAGAAUAAAGAACAAACUAUUGCGAUGCUGCCAAAGGCAAGAGCCCCACAAACUCACACAUUUCUCUCGCUGUCACCAUACACUCUGUCUUCUCACAUUCAUCAUUUGACAAUGUUACACUCUUUUCAGUACUCAAACUACUUAGUAACCUCUCAACCUGUUGUGCCCAUUGUCAGAUAUUUGUUUUUCACUUUGCUAAUACUUGCUCAACAAAAAUUUCACCAGAACUCAACCCAUGUGACGAAACCAAAAUUAAAAGGAAUAAACAACUUAUUUUAAGCAAACUAUCUUUAUCAUUGUAUACUGCAUCUCUUCAAAUGAAUGGCCACCUAUUAUCAUUAUUUAGCCAAAAAAGACAGAUUCAGCUUCUCCGAAUUCAAGCUUGUAUGAGAAGAAGGUCAAGCAUCCACAUAUAUACUAAAUCUAGUGAAUUGUUUACUUGUCAAAAAGGACAAACACAUCAUCUGCCUCCCUGCCUCAGUUCCACUACAAGGGCAUAUUCCGGGAAGUUUCAAAAGCAGAAUGGAUUACAAAGUUCAAGCUCCCAAAAAUCUAUGCACAAAUAACAUGUUUCUAUGAUUUGAUUAUAGUCAAUAGAAUGUCAUGUUCCUUUUCAUGCACUUGAAACAAUUAUUCAAAUGCAUAAAUAGACAGCAAAAUAGGAUAUACCCAUCACGGUGUCUCUUCUGCUUCGUCGCCCCGAGUACAUCAAUCACCUGAUUAAGUAUACACAAGAAGCUCAAUGAGAUUACAGGAGUGUCUAUAUGUUAAGGAAAAGAAAGUGCACGGACCUAGCAUGCAAAAGAGAUAAAAGGGGGAGGGGUUUAAGGAGAGAGUGUGAGAGAGGACCAUAAUUCAAAAACUCGUUUAGUACCUUGGGGGGUUCUUUUCCUCCUUGAAAGAGGUGUUUUACAUCAAGAAGUCGUGGAUCGAUCUUUGAAGGAGCUUUAUAUUUAAAACCUAUAAUAUAAAUUUCAGCAGAUGCUGAACGACUGGCCAGAGGUUUGUCCACUUCAACUUUUUCAAAAAGCUGUAGAUGAAACUCAAAAGUGAGGGAUCAUUCGUUCCGUUUAUACUUGAAUAUAAAAGUAGGUAUAGAUGUGGAAAAUUACCUGUCUUAGACAGUAAAGAACUGCAUUAUAAUCUUGAGAUCUGAAAAUCUAAAAGAGAAGAUCAUAUCAGUCUACUGGACAAGUAUGUUUGUAUGAGAAUGAGAAAAAGUAUUUUCAUCACAAUUACGCUCGAAUACACAUACAAAUAUGAUCAUUGUCUCCAAGCAGAAAAAGGAAUGAACCUAAAAAUGUUAUUUGAGGUUGCUUAAUAGUGUAAAUACCAACAGAUCUUACACUAGAGCCAGAUUCAACAUUGUUAAAAGAGGCCAAGGGCUUUAUUUUGGACAAAUACAUGUGCAUACCAAGAGUUUUGCCAACAUAUGAGGCAGGAAUUGUAGCACAAUAAAUAAACGAUAGGCCAUGGAAGAUAGUUAAAGCAAAGAUAAAACCAUCAGAAUUCAUCCAAAUACACCAUUAGCUUCAGAGAUGCACUCAACCAUUCAAAAAAAUACACUGAUGAAACAACGAAAAGAAUGAUGUAUCAAGAAAAAGAUUACUAAAAGAACAUAGUUAUUGAACAGGAUAAUGACAAUGUAGCGCCUAGAUAGUUGGCAGCGAUGUAUGAUAUGUAGUGCUCGUUCCUUCAUGAGGAUCAACUUUAAAGGAUGCACACUUUGGGAAGCAGAAAUACUCAAAGACUAGAAACUAGAAUAAAAGAGCACAGCUGUCCGGCAAGGUAAGCCAUAUGAAGGAAAUAGAAAAAUUUAAUCAGCAACUCAGUUGAAAUGACAUUUCAAAAUUUUCCGACUGUUGUAGGCAAAUGGCUGUGUUGAACAUAGUUAGAAUCCCGGCGACACAGAAUAACGUUAAUCUAAAUUCAAAAUUAGAAGUCAUAGACUACUAGAGCUUUCUGGCAUUACUCCAAAUGAUUCAUACAGGCAUAAAUAACGAAGAAAACAUAAAAACGCCAGUAACCAAUUACAUUAACUAAUAAAGGAACUCAUCAUUGCAGAUCCAGAAUCUAAUAUGACAAAAACACAAAGCUCAUAGUAAGACGUACACGGUCUUUUCCACUUUGUCCAACAAGCUUAACAUAAUCGAAAAAGAUUGAAUUUUUAGCGAGUACCUUUGUAAUAAAAGUCCCUUUUGGAGCCAACAAUUCAGUAGCAAGCUUAACCGAAUCAAUAACCAAUGAGUUCUGACUAGUAGCUUCUUUAGCCCAAGCACCACCAACAUUAGGGGAACCAUCAUGAAGAACCAAAUCGAAAGCUCUACAUCCAUUCUCAGCCAUAAGUUUCUUAAUAGUUGAACGACAUUUAGGUGUAGUAAUAUCCUGUUGAACAGAAAUAGCACCACGAAUUGGCCUAAUUGGAUCCAAAUCAACACCGAUAACAAGACUACCAACCGGUACAUGUUUAACAGCAACUUGCAUCCAACCCCCAGGUGCUGCACAAAGAUCAAGUACUGAUUGUGAUGAACGUAGAAAACUGAACUUGGAAUCGAGUUGGAUAAGCUUCCAUGCCGCUCUAGAACGAUAACCUUGUUCUUUGGCAAGAUGAUAGUACUUGUCCAAACGAUGCUUUCCUUUCACCUUCCCCAUUUCAACCAAGAGGGUUUAACAAGUUUGCUAGGGUUUGGCCCCUGGCCGACUUUAUAUAUGAUUUUGUGUUCUUCUCUCACGUGUUGCUCGCGUGAACAACACAAAAGCCUAAAACGUGUAAUUGGGUAUAAGUAGGAAAAUAUUAGGGUACUUUCUUUCUUGUAUCAGGGUGUGUUUGGUAACGGAAAAAUAUUUUCGUACAAAAUAUUUUUUCGAAAAAUAAGUGGUUUUUUAAUUAGUUUUUUUUCAUGUUUGGUUAGUGAGUAAAAUAUAUAUUUUUGAAAAAAAAAAUUUACAUUUUGUUGAUGAAUGAAAAAUAUUUUUCAAGAAAAUAUCUUUUACUUUUUACUUGAGACUAGAAAAUAUUUUUUAGAAAAAUAAUUUAUGAUUCAAAAAUCAACUCCGGUAAUUGAUCUAGGACCCUGGACAAGGCCCCGAUGACCGAUUCAAAAUACAAUCCUGAUAUAUGAUAGGAUCAAUACUAAAGCACGGUCUUAGUAAUAUUCAUUAAAAUCUAUAUUAUAAAAUAAUACACACACAAGAGAUGCAUGUGGUCAGUCCUCAAAAUGUAUUGAAUAUGGAAGACUAUGCACGAUUAUAACAAGAUAACAUGAUAAAUCUAAAAAUAUAAUAAUGCAAUGAUCAAAUAAAUAUAACAUAAUUUGAUCAUAUAAUUUCAUAAAACAUAGUAUAAGGUCAUGCAUUCUUCUUUAAAUAAUUAUCAUUAUCGUAUCAUAAGUCUUUGAGGAAGUCAUAAGCCUUUGUGGGAAUUCAUGUCUUUGAGGAAGUCAUAAGCCUAUGUGGGAAUACCCUUAACCCACAUAAAUCAUAUAAGUUAUAACUAGAGUUCAUUGUAUUGUUUCAUACUGAAAAAGAGAGAAUAUUCUACUUUUCACAGUAAAGACCAUAAUCAUGAACUUAUAUGGAUCCACUAGCUAGAUUCAACUAAGACUAAUUCAUACAGGGUACUUAGUUUUGAAACAAGGAGAUUGUUACUAAAAAUGUAACACCUCGAAACUUGGUAAUUUGAGUUGGAAAGAAAAUUCUGAAACUUGGCUAUUGAUGCAUGUUGCACGACCCCGCCUACGGACCGUACUAGGUCAUAAAGUUUGUAGGAGGGGCAAUUGUUGUAAGAGAUGCCCAAACCUAGAGGAAUUCUUAUAGACCACUGUGACAGUUUAUAGAAGUAUAUACAACUCGUAGGAAGGAGUCCAAACUUGGUGAUAUUUUGAUCGACUUUUGGAUUAUACAAUUGGGACCUACGACUCGUAGAAGGGUUUACCAACUGUCGAAAGUGCUCCUGAAAAGUGAUUGGAAUUUUGGUCUCUAGUACUUUGAUUAACGGAUGACCAGGACUGUCCACAAAAGCUUGUACGAACUAUAGGCCACCUCUGACAAUUUUUAAGUUAGGUUAUUUGAGCUAUUUCUUAUUUUUUCUACACCUAAACUAUGCUGUUUUGACCCUAUAACUAAGCCCUAUUAUUGCUUUUACCCUUCAAAGCCUACCUAUUUCCCCCUCACUCACCCAAAAUCUCUCAAGAUUUUCAGUGUAAAUUCUCUCCAAGGGUUUUGUCAAGUGGAUUAGGGUUCUUCAAACUUUUGAAUCUCUUCCUCUAAUUGCAAGGCUUAAGUAUAUGUUCUCCUUCAUCGAGACCCAAAGAUUUCUCUAUUCCCUUCAAUCAUUUCAACCCAAAACUCCAGAGUCGUAUAUGAUUCUUCGUGAUUUUGAUUAUUUAUGAUCCAAUCGAUUAUAUUUAAUCUUAUUAUGCAUGAUUUGAUUCAAAUUACAUGCUUUCAAAGUAUUUCAUAUGAACCCAUAUUAUAUGUCUAUCUUGUGAUCAUCGGUUGAAGUUCUGAAAAUUAUGCACAUAAAGAAAAUAUAGUGACUAUGAUUCUAGGGUGCUUUCAAAUAAAGUAUCUCAUGAUCUACGAUUUACAAAAGUAGAUUGCUUCUGAUUGAAGUAUUCCUACUACGAAAAAUUUCUAUGGCUUAGCCACCUCCAAUUGAAGUGUAGUUUUACUAAAAAAGAAAGAUUAUCAUGAUUUAAAUGCUUCAGUUAAAUGUAUAUAUAAAUAGAAAACAGAAAAAGGCAAUAAGAGAUCAGAAAAUCUGAAGACUAAUUCAUUUCAAAAUGUGAACAACAAAAAUCAUGAGCUUAAGCUGCUGUUGAAGCCUUUCCUGAGCCUUUUCCUUUUUGGUUGCGUCUUCUUUUUCAUUCCAUGCUUUCUUGCAUCUUUUUUCAUUCUUGGAUCGACAAGGACCUUUCCCUUGCCAAUCUUAACUUGAACUCCCUUCUUUGCCACUACAUAUUCCCUUUCUGGUUUUUUUGUUGACGCUGCCUUCCUGUAUAGUUGUUCAAUCAUUUUUCUCUUUGAACCUUCAGAGAUUUCAGUUUGGUCUGAUAUUGAGUUAGCUUUCUUCCUAAACUUCUCUAGCUUUCUAUGUGCUGCCCGUUUCUUACGAGCUUUGGCUUCUGCAACCUUCUUUGCAGGCCGAGCAUCAAUUGCUUUAAAUUGAGCUCUCAUUGCAGCAAUCUCCUCUUUUGUCACGGGUUUCACUGGCUGGAAAUUUCUCUUUUCCUCAUCAACGAACCACUUCGGCAACCCCUCAUCGUUGAACAUAUAUCUGUUGUAAGCAUCAUCAAUCAUUUCUUCCCUAGGCCUUUUCUUCAGAGUCAUUUUUGCUGUAGACAAUAUUUCAGCCUUGGUGUCAAUAUCGUCAUCAGAUUCAUCAGAUGACGAGUCACUAGAAUCAGUAGCAGGAGCAGGAACAAUCUCAAAAUCAUCAUCUGCCUUAGAAGCUGAGACCUGUAAACCACCAUUUGUUUUCCUCCUCGUCAUAUCCUUAGUUUCUCCCUGCUGUUUAUCAUUUGUCAGUUCCUUAGAUUGUUGGAUCUUCUUAGUCCCUCCAUCUAUUUGCAUUUCAUCAUUAAUGUCAUACAUGUCCAAGACAUCCUGCUCUUCUGCUUCAGCAAAAACAUCUUGAGUAAACCACAUCUUCAUAAUCUCCUCCUGAGGUGGUGCAUCCUCAAGAGGUACAACAAGAGGGUUGACUUCAUUAUCUUCCAUGUCACUCUCAGAGUCUUGAGCAGAAUCAAUCAUC
This 13950-nucleotide long non-coding RNA is filed under the name Solanum melongena (eggplant). RNAcentral describes it as "long non-coding RNA (SMEL_LNC000217)". Lineage: Eukaryota; Viridiplantae; Streptophyta; Magnoliopsida; Solanales; Solanaceae. The record is from RNAcentral.